RNAcentral lists this transfer RNA (66 nucleotides) under Fasciola sp. GHL-2014. RNAcentral describes it as "tRNA-Arg". The record is from RNAcentral. Lineage: Eukaryota; Metazoa; Platyhelminthes; Trematoda; Plagiorchiida; Fasciolidae.
GGUUUGAUAUCCUUUUGCGUUUACGUUUCGGCCGUAGAUUUGGAGUUUUUUGCUUCUAUCAAAGGU